Molecule: ribosomal RNA, 684 nt
Filed under: Bacillus licheniformis
Lineage: Bacteria; Bacillati; Bacillota; Bacilli; Caryophanales; Bacillaceae
Description: bacterial SSU rRNA
Rfam family: Bacterial small subunit ribosomal RNA
Source: RNAcentral
UGAUGUUAGCGGCGGACGGGUGAGUAACACGUGGGUAACCUGCCUGUAAGACUGGGAUAACUCCGGGAAACCGGGGCUAAUACCGGAUGCUUGAUUGAACCGCAUGGUUCAAUUAUAAAAGGUGGCUUUUAGUUUCCACUUCCAGAUGGCCCCGCGGCGCAUUAGCUAGUUGGGGAGGUAACGGCUCACCAAGGCAACAAUGCGUACCCAACCUGAAAGGGGGAUCGGCCACACUGGGACUGAAACACGGCCCAAACUCCUACGGGAGGCAGCAGUAGGGAAUCUUCCGCAAUGGACGAAAGUCUGACGGACCACCGCCGCGUGAGUGAUGAAGGUUUUCGGAUCGUAAAACUCUGUUGUUAGGGAAAAACAAGUACCGUUCGAAUAGGGCGGUCCCUUGACGGUCCCUAACCAGAAAGCCACGGCUAACUACGUGCCAGCAGCCGCGGUAAUACGUAGGUGGAAAGCGUUGUCCGGAAUUAUUGGGCGUAAAGCGCGCGCAGGCGGUUUCUUAAUUCUGAUGUGAAAGCCCCCGGCUAAACCGGGGAGGGUCAUUGGAAACUGGGGAACUUGAGUGCAGAAGAGGAGAGUGGAAUUCCACGUGUAGCGGUGAAAUGCGUAGAGAUGUGGAGGAACACCAGUGGCGAAGGCGACUCUCUGGUCUGUAACUGACGCUGAGGCGCG